CCUACGGGAGGCAGCAGUGGGGAAUAUUGCACAAUGGGGGGAAACCCUGAUGCAGCGACGCAGCGUGCGGGAUGACGGCCUUCGGGUUGUAAACCGCUUUCAGCAGGGAAGAAGCGCAAGUGACGGUACCUGCAGAAGAAGUACCGGGCUAACUACGGGGCCAGCAGCCGCGGUAAUA
This 178-nucleotide ribosomal RNA is filed under the name Brevibacterium casei. Its description in RNAcentral is "partial 16S ribosomal RNA". It matches the Rfam family "Bacterial small subunit ribosomal RNA", at positions 338 to 525 of the family's 1533-position model. The record is from RNAcentral. Lineage: Bacteria; Bacillati; Actinomycetota; Actinomycetes; Micrococcales; Brevibacteriaceae.